AAAGUAUAUUUUAGGAAUAUAAAGUUCACUUUUUUUUGGCGCAUUCCUCCUCUUCUCUUCUAUUCUCUUCGGCGUCCGUGAGGGCAAAACCCUCAAGUUGGAUUCCAAGGUUUGGAUUAGCAUUGGCAUAAGAUGGCAAUAAUCUCUGGGUUGAUGACAGGCUUCGUCCAUCCCAAAAUACCAUUCCAGAUUCAGAAAUAUGACAGAAGCAGAGAUUACAAUGGCAUUCGACUGGAAUCUAAAAUGAUUCCUAGAGCAAAGAUUCAGUAUUUUCUUGGAGGUGGUUUUCACACCAGAUAUGCUACAUCUCCAGGAGGAAAUCAUCAUGAAUUGAGCUCUGGCAAUGACUUCCUUGAGGAGCCCUUUUGGUUAACCCUGAUAAAGGAAGCUUUCUGGGCUUUGAAAUCUUUGUUUGUCUUCCUCCUUGAACAACCUAGCCAGCUGAAGUACAUAGAGUGGCCAAGUUUCCACAGUACGCUGAAGACUGCUUCUCUCACUCUCUUUCUUGUGGCACUACUUAUAGUUGCACUCGCCUCAGUUGACUCUGCCCUUUCCUAUCUGUUGGCCUUGCUUCUACGAAAGCCUCUGUGACCCAUUGUUGUUGAAAUGCCAAGUUAAAUCGUGAUGGAGGACAUACCUUGCGGUCAUCGGUUUUGAUCAUGCCACUAGGCAUUUGAGUAUAGUCAAGCUCAACACUUCUCCUGAUGCCAUUCAGAGCCUAUCUUAUCAGCACUGUGAGCAUAAUUCUCUUUUACCUCUCAUACAUACUGGCAAAGAACAAACUUUUUGUUACACGAAGCAGGGGCCACAACUUCCAGAGUGAAAACAAUGGCAGGCAACAUUUAUUAAUGUUUUGAUUCAAAGCUGUUCCUACAUCUAUGACAGCGGUUUUGUUAAAAUCUAUGUUAAUAUCUGAAUCUUUUAUUUUAUUUUAUUAUUUGUUUUUUUUCCCUUGCUGGAGAAGCUUGUAUCCAUCUUUUUAUUAUUGGCAGCCGUAUGGAAAAUUUAAAUCUUACUAACA
Non-coding RNA from Camellia sinensis, 1021 nucleotides. NCBI's taxonomy places the organism in Eukaryota, Viridiplantae, Streptophyta, Magnoliopsida, Ericales, Theaceae. The record is from RefSeq and is a predicted model, not a curated record.